This 486-nucleotide ribosomal RNA is filed under the name uncultured bacterium. RNAcentral's name for it is "partial 16S ribosomal RNA". It matches the Rfam family "Bacterial small subunit ribosomal RNA", at positions 30 to 507 of the family's 1533-position model. The record is from RNAcentral.
AUUGAACGCUGGCGGCAUGCCUUACACAUGCAAGUCGAACGGCAGCACGGGUGCUUGCACCUGGUGGCGAGUGGCGAACGGGUGAGUAAUACAUCGGAACAUGUCCUGUAGUGGGGGAUAGCCCGGCGAAAGCCGGAUUAAUACCGCAUACGAUCUACGGAUGAAAGCGGGGGACCUUCGGGCCUCGCGCUAUAGGGUUGGCCGAUGGCUGAUUAGCUAGUUGGUGGGGUAAAGGCCUACCAAGGCGACGAUCUGUAGCUGGUCUGAGAGGACGACCAGCCACACUGGGACUGAGACACGGCCCAGACUCCUACGGGAGGCAGCAGUGGGGAAUUUUGGACAAUGGGCGAAAGCCUGAUCCAGCAAUGCCGCGUGUGUGAAGAAGGCCUUCGGGUUGUAAAGCACUUUUGUCCGGAAAGAAAUCCUUGGCCCUAAUACGGUCGGGGGAUGACGGUACCGGAAGAAUAAGCACCGGCUAACUACGUG